RNAcentral lists this ribosomal RNA (465 nucleotides) under uncultured bacterium. Its description in RNAcentral is "partial 16S ribosomal RNA". It matches the Rfam family "Bacterial small subunit ribosomal RNA", at positions 338 to 795 of the family's 1533-position model. The record is from RNAcentral.
CCUACGGGGGGCAGCAGUGGGGAAUUUUGCGCAAUGCUCGUAAGAGUGACGCAGCGACGCCGCGUGAAUGACGAAGGCCUUCGGGUCGUAAAGUUCUUUCGACAGGGAAGAAAAUGCCUAUAAGUAACUGUGUAUGUAUUGACGGUACCUGUAUAAGCAGCCCCGGCUAACUCCGUGCCAGCAGCCGCGGUAAUACGGAGGGGGCGGGCGUUGUUCGGAGGGACUGGGCGUAAAGAGCACGUAGGCGGUGUUGUAAGUCAUUAAUCAAAGACUAGAGCUCAACUUUAGUAAGGCUAGUGAUACUAUAAUACUAGAGUAUCAGAGAGGAUUGCAGAAUUCCUGGUGUAGCGGUGAAAUGCGUAGAUAUCAGGAGGAAUACCGUUAGCGAAGGCGGCAAUCUGGCUGGAAACUGACGCUGAGGUGCGAAAGCGUGGGUAGCAAACAGGAUUAGAUACCCCAGUAGUC